This 301-nucleotide ribosomal RNA is filed under the name uncultured bacterium. RNAcentral describes it as "partial 16S ribosomal RNA". It matches the Rfam family "Bacterial small subunit ribosomal RNA", at positions 509 to 807 of the family's 1533-position model. The record is from RNAcentral.
CAGUCGCCACGGUAAAACAGAGGGUGCGAGCGUUAAUCGGAUUUACUGGGCGUAAAGCGUGCGUAGGCGGCUUCUUAAGUCGGAUGUGAAAUCCCUGAGCUUAACUUAGGAAUUGCAUUUGAUACUGGGAAGCUAGAGUAUGGGAGAGGAUGGUAGAAUUCCAGGUGUAGCGGUGAAAUGCGUAGAGAUCUGGAGGAAUACCGAUGGCGAAGGCAGCCAUCUGGCCUAAUACUGACGCUGAGGUACGAAAGCAUGGGGAGCAAACAGGAUUAGAUACCCCCGUAGUCCCUGUCUCUUAUAC